Rattus norvegicus (Norway rat) is the source of this 1916-nucleotide non-coding RNA. NCBI's taxonomy places the organism in Eukaryota, Metazoa, Chordata, Mammalia, Rodentia, Muridae. The record is from RefSeq and is a predicted model, not a curated record.
UAGAAACUCUUUGCAACCCUUUUCUCCAACUGGCUCUCUGAGUGUGGAAGCUGCUGAGACUUGGCCACUAGGCAAGAUGAACUGAGAAAACCAUUCAUAGAGAAUACUGAACUAUCUGCCACACACUGUAGGUCACCUGACCACUCUCAACCUCUUCUAACUGACACUUGAUUUGAAGAUUCCGGGGUGACUUCGAACUUGACUCAGACUGCUAUCAUUCCCAUCUACGGGGCACCGGGAGACAGUUCUGAGUGGACACAGUGGCCCCUGCCUUUUGGCAUCUGGGAGAGGCCAAGCACAGUUGUGCUGGCGCCAUGUUUGCCCUAGAGACUGUACCACGUGGUCCUCUUCACUAUGCUCUCAGAGGAUACUUAAGCUGUUAGACUACAGACAAAGGCAAGAUGAAUGAUGUUUGUGUAGUAUAUCUCUAUUUCCAGUUCUACAGGGAGCCUGUCCUGGACAAACUGACAGAUGUCUCUCAGUAAAUAGACAGGAGGAGCAGUGGUAUCUAAGCAUAAAACUCUUCGAACAUGGAGUCUGAAGGAUGGACUGACCGUUUGCAAUGAUAUCUCCUAGCAACCAUCAAAUCCACAACAAUGUAUUGAGUACCUGCAGAGCAGGCCUCUUUAUGAUUGGUGUCUAAAGUUAUCACAUUGAAAUGGUGGGCCCUCCAUGUUCCAAGUCUCAAAGUACUUGCACAUACAUCUGUCGCUCAACAAAACUCAGGGAGUCACCUAAGACCCUGUUGUCACCCCUAUGUGUAGCCAACAAUAAACACAAGUGACAGCUGUGGUUUAUUAAAGACUGUGUUCCACACACUCUUACACAUGCUAACUUGUUCGCCAUCAUAGUGGCUUUGUGUGAUUGUUCUCACUUUAUGACUGAUUAAAGUGAAGCGCAAAGAGAUAAAUACACUCUUAAUCACCCUGCUCCUGGUUGGCAGUGUUGGAGUAAGAAUUAGCAGUCAAACUCUAGGUCACAGCACGUACUACUGGAAUGGACCACCUAAAGAGGAAAAUGAAUCAAGGAGAGAAGGCCAUUGUGUAGAGAUCAUGUGACCAGGGACAGAGCCGAGAUCCACACCUAGCUAGCUUAUGAACAUUGCUGGGUCUCCAAACCAACACCUAUAUCCAAUAAUCACAGUGUGCCCACAGGUGCACCUUGAGAUGUUCCUGUGAUCUGAAGAAUGUAACUCUUCCACCUCAGGUUUCUGGUGACUCUUGAUAAUGUCCCCAUGCCCAGUGGUCACUGCUGAUGCCAUCUUCCAGUAGCCCACAAUUUCAAAUGAACUAGCUGAAGAGGGCUGGUUCUUACAACACGAGAGUCCUCCACUGGUGCCUCUCGACCUUAAGGCAUGAUUCAGAGAAAGAGGUUCUGAGGCAAAGGGCAGGCUGAGGAGUUCUAGUCCUAGCACUGAAUGACUCAGAGUCAGUCACUUCCCUUCUAGGAACAAUUUUAUCAGGGAAAGGAUGAGACCCAGAAGCCUCUGAAGCCCCCUCUCCUCAUUGUGUCCUCCCAGAACACAACCUGUGACUGUUUUGAAGACCCCUUCUACAUCCCUGAGCCUACCUUGAGCCACUCCUGGGCUUCCCAAUAAGUCAUACAUCAAGACUUUUCUGUCCUGUGUUUUACCCUCUCAGGACCCUGUGCUUAUCUGUGACUAAGAAUGCUUCUAUUUUUUAUCACAGAAGUUAAAAUGAUUGUCAUUUCUUAAUAAUUUCAUUCUCCCAGGAGACCUCAUGCCUCAAUUCUCUUUCCUUUUCUCAUCUUUUCUUUUUCAACAUAACCUUUUUUUUAUUGAUUCUCUCGAAGUUUCACACUACGUGCCACAAUCCUAUUUCCUUCCCAGACCUUCCUUGUCUGCCCUCCUGCUUGUGACCUCCCCACUAAAAAUAUUUUUAAAAUAAUAGAGUUAA